Molecule: non-coding RNA, 2041 nt
Organism: Biomphalaria pfeifferi
Lineage: Eukaryota; Metazoa; Mollusca; Gastropoda; Planorbidae
Source: the annotation of a GenBank genome assembly
AUUGUUUGACAUCAAAUUUAAUUUGCUUAUCUCCCUUUUAAAAUUUAAAAAAAAAAAAUUAAAAAAAUAAAAAUAAAAAGAACAUCUAAUAUUAUCAAAUAAUUUGAAUUUACUUCACAAUGUUACCCCAUCCAAGCAACCAGUAGCAACAUUGGUGACAAUUAGAAUUUACAUUUCAAGCUAAUAAUAGUCAGAUAAAAAAAAAAAAAUACACAUCAAUUGAAUCAUAGUACAUUCAUAGUAAACAAAACAAAACAAAAAAACUCAAACCACAGAAGUAGGUUAUAGUUUCUGAUUUCUGUCACAACCAACAAUGAUAUAGCCCAAUUAAUUUUUUUUUUUUUUUUUUUUUUUUUUUUUAAAUAUAAAUACAAUCAAUAAUAAAAGAAAAAGACACCCUCCACCCCCAAUCCUAAAUUGUUGAUGUCCAUCAGAGUUGACAUGCAAAUCGUCAGGCAAAUUAGUGAGAAAUGGAUGUUACUAAUUUACUGAAGGAGAUCUUAAACACAGAACUAAGUAAUGGCUACCAAGAUACAGAUGUUACAACUUAAUGCUAAUGCGACCGGGCUGUUCUAUCUGUAACUUGAAAUAAACCACUUUUUAUUAUUUUUUUUUUUACUAGGCAUGGGGCUAUACACUAUUAAGUUACUUUUCACAGGGCCAUUUCAUUUCAAUGCAACUCAAUAGUUUUAUCAAAUGAAAACAUUCUACAGCAUUAUUUACAUGCAAAUAAAAUUUAAAAUGAUAAAAAAAAAAAGAAGGAAAAAAUGUAACUGCUGAAUAUCAUCAACUUAUUGGAAAAAAAACAACAAACAAACACUCAACCAGAACAAAUAAAUAUGACCAACUUAUGUACAAGUACUGAGAGAAGAGAAAAGAAUUGAACAAUUGGAUAAUAGACGCAAAGCCUGGCAUCAAGCCUUAGGGUGCAGGUUGCUUGAAGGGGGUAAUAUUAUGAAGAAGAGACACUUUUUUUUUUGGCCCGAAAACCACUAUUAUAAAAUUUUGAAGCAGGAUGAAGAAAAUCUCUUAGUCCAAACAAAGAAUUUAUAAUGGAACAUUGUUUUGUUAUUUCAAAGUUUUGCUUCAGUAAUAUCAGCAGAGCCAAUACUCUGCGUGAUGGUUGCUGAUUUUUUUUCUUUUUUUUUAAAUUAGUAAUAUUUGUAAAAAAAAAAAAAAAAAUAUAUAAUAAAAUAAAAAUUGAAAAAAUAGUUUUACUUAUGAGUUUGUUUGUUUUUCUCAAAAAUAUUCAUAAAUAUCACUAUCCAGUAUUAAACAGUCACAUGUUUUGCUUAGAGAUUUAACAAGAACUGAAUUACAUUCAUCCAAUGACUCCCGAGCACAGCUAGUUCAUGCAGAGAGGGCAAGGGAAGGGAACAAUAGUAUGGACACAAGUAGGCACAAUAAUGAGUCACAGUCUAGUCUCUCUGAUACAGUUCAAUCAACUCCUACCCUUACUUUACACCAAAGGAUUCAAUGACAAAUGAAUAAAAACAGAAAUGUGCGUUAACCAUGAUUAAAUACAUGAAAAACCCUUGACUAUUCAUUAGUUACAUGGCAGUAGAACAAAACCUUCACUAUUUUUUAUUUUUUUUUACAUAGCAAUCAAAAUCAUUUGGUGUUUUUUGUUAUCUAUCAUACAACCAAUACCAAAGAAACCAAUAAAAAAAAAAGUGGAAGAUGAAAGGUUUUGGAAACAGCAGGUCAAAAUGACUGUCCACACAUAUCAAAUAAGAAAAUUUGCAGACUGAAUAAAGAAAUGAUGUCACCCUGGCUUGAAACAUUAUGCGAUUGACUCAAAUGUACAAUAGGGAUGGAAGAUAUAUGCAUGAGUGAUUAACUGCAUGGACCACAACACAUCCAACAGAGGUCACAUACUCUCUUCUGAAAUGUUUGAAAGUAUCUUUCAAGUCAAUCAUUUUGAAACACCUUUUGAACAGAACAAUAUCACAAAUCAUUUCAAGUUCAUGAAACAAAGAUAGUCAUAAGUUUGAAAGAAAAUUGAAAAUAAUGAAGGUGAAAAAAAAAAAAAACAUGGGAG